GUUGCUUCUUGGCCUUUUGGCUAAGAUCAAGUGUAGUAUGUGCUCUUCACAGUUUAGUAUCUGACAUGCCCUCUGUUUGAGGAUGCAAUAUUAGGUGCGCGUUUGGUACAAGGACAUGGACCAUGGAGUUGUUCUACCCACUCCAUGCAUUCGUCUCGUGUUGCUCCCUUGUGGGUAACUAUCGGUUACCACCCAA
Cynocephalus volans (Philippine flying lemur) is the source of this 196-nucleotide small nuclear RNA. RefSeq annotates it as U2 spliceosomal RNA. The record is from RefSeq and is a predicted model, not a curated record. The transcript has a single exon. Lineage: Eukaryota; Metazoa; Chordata; Mammalia; Dermoptera; Cynocephalidae.